Molecule: ribosomal RNA, 333 nt
Filed under: Allobates sumtuosus
Lineage: Eukaryota; Metazoa; Chordata; Amphibia; Anura; Aromobatidae
Description: partial large subunit ribosomal RNA
Rfam family: Bacterial large subunit ribosomal RNA
Source: RNAcentral
GACUAGUAUGAACGGCUUCACGAAGGCUAUACUGUCUCCCUUAUCUAAUCAGUUAAACUAAUCUCCCCGUGAAGAAGCGGGGAUUCACAUAUAAGACGAGAAGACCCUAUGGAGCUUAAAACACCUCUAAACAUUUGACCUCCACACUACUAUUUUCAGAAAUCUUCACAAAGCCCGUCAUUUUGUUUUAAGUUUUAGGUUGGGGUGACCGCGGAGAAUAACCUAACCUCCACGUAGAAAGAACUUUCUUUUCUAAGCAAAAAGCUACAUCUUUAUGCAUCAACAUAUUGACCUAAUUGACCCAAUUAUUUGAUCAACGAACCAAGUUACCCU